RNAcentral lists this ribosomal RNA (478 nucleotides) under uncultured bacterium. RNAcentral describes it as "partial 16S ribosomal RNA". It matches the Rfam family "Bacterial small subunit ribosomal RNA", at positions 28 to 523 of the family's 1533-position model. The record is from RNAcentral.
GACGAACGCUGGCGGCGUGCUUAACACAUGCAAGUCGAACGGUAAGGCCCUUCGGGGUACACGAGUGGCGAACGGGUGAGUAACACGUGGGUGAUCUGCCCUGCACUUCGGGAUAAGCCUGGGAAACUGGGUCUAAUACCGGAUAGGACCACUGCCUGCAUGGGUGGUGGUGGAAAGCUUUUGCGGUGUGGGAUGGGCCGGCGGCCUAUCAGCUUGUUGGUGGGGUGAUGGCCUAGCAAGGCGACGACGGGUAGCCCGCCUGAGAGGGUGAGCGGCCACCCUGGGACUGCGAUACGGCCCAGACUCCUACGGGAGGCAGCAGUGGGGAAUAUUGCACAAUGGGCGCAAGCCUGAUGCAGCGACGCCGCGUGAGGGAUGACGGCCUUCGGGUUGUAAACCUCUUUCAGCACCGACGAAGCGCAAGUGACGGUAGGUGCAGAAGAAGGACCGGCCAACUACGUGCCAGCAGCCGCCGUAA